UUUUUUGAGAGUUUGAUCCUAGCUCAGGAUGAACGCUCGCUGUGUGCCUAAUACAUGCAUGUUGAACGGGAUGUAGCAAUACAUUCAGUAGCGAAUGGGUGAGUAACACGUACCUAACCUACCUUUAAGACUGGGAUAACUAUUGGAAACAAUAGCUAAUACCGGAUAUAGUUAUUUAUCGCAUGAUGAGUAAUAGAAAGGAGCUUCACAGCUUCACUUAAAAAUGGGGGUGCGGAACAUUAGUUAGUUGGUAGGGUAAUGGCCUACCAAGACGAUGAUGUUUAGCCGGGCCGAGAGGCUGUACGGCCACACUGGGACUGAGAUACGGCCCAGACUCCUACGGGAGGCAGCAGUAAGGAAUUUUCCACAAUGAGCGAAAGCUUGAUGGAGCGACACAGCGUGCAGGAUGAAGUUCUUCGGAAUGUAAACUGCUGUUAUAAGGGAAGAAAAAAUAGAAUAGGAAAUGAUUUUAUCUUGACGGUACCUUAUUAGAAAGCGACGGCAAACUAUGUGCCAGCAGCCGCGGUAAUACAUAGGUCGCAAGCGUUAUCCGGAAUUAUUGGGCGUAAAGCGUCCGUAGGUUUUUUGCUAAGUCUGGAGUUAAAUGCUGAAGCUCAACUUCAGUCCGCUUUGGAUACUGGCAAAAUAGAAUUAUAAAGAGGUUAGCGGAAUUCCUAGUGAAGCGGUGGAAUGCGUAGAUAUUAGGAAGAACACCAAUAGGCGAAGGCAGCUAACUGGUUAUAUAUUGACACUAAGGGACGAAAGCGUGGGGAGCAAACAGGAUUAGAUACCCUGGUAGUCCACGCCGUAAACGAUGAUCAUUAGUUGGUGGAAUAAUUUCACUAACGCAGCUAACGCGUUAAAUGAUCCGCCUGAAUAGUAUGCUCGCAAGAGUGAAACUUAAAGGAAUUGACGGGAACCCGCACAAGCGGUGGAGCAUGUGGUUUAAUUUGAAGAUACGCGUAGAACCUUACCCACUCUUGACAUCUUCUGCA
This 995-nucleotide ribosomal RNA is filed under the name Escherichia coli. Its description in RNAcentral is "bacterial SSU rRNA". It matches the Rfam family "Bacterial small subunit ribosomal RNA", at positions 1 to 995 of the family's 1533-position model. The record is from RNAcentral. Lineage: Bacteria; Pseudomonadati; Pseudomonadota; Gammaproteobacteria; Enterobacterales; Enterobacteriaceae.